GAGACAUUAUCAAAACAGCGGACUUCGGUCCUUGCUGCACCCUUGUCUUUUGCGUACCGUAUGUUUCCUCGGCGGGCUUGCCUGCCGGUUGGACAAUAUCAAACCUUUUUGUAGUUGCAAUCAGCGUCAGAAAACAAAUAAUAAUUACAACUUUCAACAACGGAUCUCUUGGUUCUGGCAUCGAUGAAGAACGCAGCGAAAUGCGAAAAGUAGUGUGAAUUGCAGAAUUCAGUGAAUCAUCGAAUCUUUGAACGCACAUUGCGCCCCUUGGUAUUCCAUGGGGCAUGCCUGUUCGAGCGUCAUUUUGUACCCUCAAGCACUGCUUGGUGUUGGGCGUUUGUCCUGCAAAGGACUCGCCUGAAAGCGAUUGGCGGCCAACGUACUGGUGGUAGAGCGCAGCACAAUUUGCGUCUCUCCCUUCUACGUCGGCGUCCAUGAAGCCUUAUUCAAACGUUUGACCUCGGAUCAGGUAGGGAUACCCGCUGAACUUAAGCAUAUCAAUAAGCGGAGGAAAAGAAACCAACAGGGAUUGCCCUAGUAACGGCGAGUGAAGCGGCAUCAGCUCAAAUUUGAAAUCUGGCUCUUUCAGAGUCCGAGUUGUAAUUUGCAGAGGGCGCUUUGGUGUCGGCAGCGGUCCAAGUUCCUUGGAACAGGACGUCACAGAGGGUGAGAAUCCCGUACGUGGUCGCUGACCUACACCGUGUAAAGCCCCUUCGACGAGUCGAGUUGUUUGGGGAAUGCAGCUCUAAAUGGGGAGGUAAAUUUUCUUCUA
This 772-nucleotide unclassified non-coding RNA is filed under the name Pyrenochaetopsis leptospora. Its description in RNAcentral is "sequence contains ITS1, 5.8S rRNA gene, ITS2". The stretch from base 456 to 772 matches the Rfam family "Eukaryotic large subunit ribosomal RNA", at positions 1 to 312 of the family's 3401-position model. The record is from RNAcentral. Lineage: Eukaryota; Fungi; Ascomycota; Dothideomycetes; Pleosporales; Pyrenochaetopsidaceae.